RNAcentral lists this ribosomal RNA (463 nucleotides) under Pseudomonas sp. RNAcentral's name for it is "bacterial SSU rRNA". It matches the Rfam family "Bacterial small subunit ribosomal RNA", at positions 56 to 513 of the family's 1533-position model. Lineage: Bacteria; Pseudomonadati; Pseudomonadota; Gammaproteobacteria; Pseudomonadales; Pseudomonadaceae. The record is from RNAcentral.
UGCAGUCGAGCGGCAGCACGGGUACUUGUACCUGGUGGCGAGCGGCGGACGGGUGAGUAAUGCCUAGGAAUCUGCCUGGUAGUGGGGGAUAACGCUCGGAAACGGACGCUAAUACCGCAUACGUCCUACGGGAGAAAGCAGGGGACCUUCGGGCCUUGCGCUAUCAGAUGAGCCUAGGUCGGAUUAGCUAGUUGGUGAGGUAAUGGCUCACCAAGGCGACGAUCCGUAACUGGUCUGAGAGGAUGAUCAGUCACACUGGAACUGAGACACGGUCCAGACUCCUACGGGAGGCAGCAGUGGGGAAUAUUGGACAAUGGGCGAAAGCCUGAUCCAGCCAUGCCGCGUGUGUGAAGAAGGUCUUCGGAUUGUAAAGCACUUUAAGUUGGGAGGAAGGGCAGUUACCUAAUACGUAUCUGUUUUGACGUUACCGACAGAAUAAGCACCGGCUAACUCUGUGCCAGCA